RNAcentral lists this transfer RNA (82 nucleotides) under Deltaproteobacteria bacterium. RNAcentral describes it as "tRNA-Leu". It matches the Rfam family "tRNA". From Rfam's summary of the family: Transfer RNA (tRNA) molecules are approximately 80 nucleotides in length. Their secondary structure includes four short double-helical elements and three loops (D, anti-codon, and T loops). Further hydrogen bonds mediate the characteristic L-shaped molecular structure. tRNAs have two regions of fundamental functional importance: the anti-codon, which is responsible for specific mRNA codon recognition, and the 3' end, to which the tRNAs corresponding amino acid is attached (by aminoacyl-tRNA synthetases). tRNAs cope with the degeneracy of the genetic code in two manners: having more than one tRNA (with a specific anti-codon) for a particular amino acid; and 'wobble' base-pairing, i.e. permitting non-standard base-pairing at the 3rd anti-codon position. The record is from RNAcentral. Lineage: Bacteria; Pseudomonadati; Myxococcota; Myxococcia.
GCGAGAGUGGCGGAAUUGGCAGACGCGCUGGACUUAGGAUCCAGUGGGGUAACCCGUGUGGGUUCGAGUCCCACCUCUCGCA